AUGCUCUGGUUUCUCUUCAGAUCGUGUAAAUCUUUCACCUUUUACUCAAGAUUUCUGUGGAAAAGAAGAGCGAACGGCAGACAAGGAAAUUUGAGACUGGCUGGCCAUACCAGUU
This is a small nuclear RNA of Panthera pardus (leopard), 115 nucleotides long. Its record names the gene U5. It matches the Rfam family "U5 spliceosomal RNA". From Rfam's summary of the family: U5 RNA is a component of both types of known spliceosome. The record is from Ensembl. Lineage: Eukaryota; Metazoa; Chordata; Mammalia; Carnivora; Felidae.